This 199-nucleotide small nucleolar RNA is filed under the name Castor canadensis (American beaver). RNAcentral describes it as "Small nucleolar RNA U3 (ENSCCNG00000020345.1)". It matches the Rfam family "Small nucleolar RNA U3". Rfam says of the family: Small nucleolar RNAs (snoRNAs) are involved in the processing and modification of rRNA in the nucleolus. There are two main classes of snoRNAs: the box C/D class, and the box H/ACA class. Lineage: Eukaryota; Metazoa; Chordata; Mammalia; Rodentia; Castoridae. The record is from RNAcentral.
AAGACUAUACUUUCAGGGAUCAUUUCUAUAGUUCAUUAGUAGAGAAGUUUCUCUGAUUGUGUAGAGUACCAGAAACCUAAGGAAGAAACACAGUGCUCUCUCCUGAGUGUGAAGCUGACUCUUGGUGUUGCUUUAUUGCAACUGCCACUUGCCAAAGUACACUUCAACUAGAAAUUAGUCAAAAGAGAUUAAGAAAAGC